This is an RNA transcript of Syzygium oleosum, 876 nucleotides long. It is a transcript of the gene named 50S ribosomal protein L29, chloroplastic, with no coding region annotated. The record is from RefSeq and is a predicted model, not a curated record. The transcript is spliced from 3 exons. Lineage: Eukaryota; Viridiplantae; Streptophyta; Magnoliopsida; Myrtales; Myrtaceae.
CAAUCCAUUCCAACGCUCCGAAACUUCACCCGAAGCUCCUCCCAAAGCCUUACCAUCUUGCGGAAAACGAAGAUGCUGAGCCUCUCCGUCGCCUCGCCGCCCGCCGCCGCCGCCGUCUUCCCCGCGAAAGCCUCGCUCCCCGCGGCGGCGAGGUCGUCGUCCUUCAGUGGCAUUCGAAUUCAGCACAGGCGCCCUCCUCUGGGUGUAUCUCUUGCGGCGUCGUCGUCGUCCUCUCGGGGCCGAGCUUCGAGUGUCGUGAUGAUGGCGAAGAGAGAGGAGGAGUUGAAGGAGAUAAGGGUCAAGACCGUCGAGGAAAUCAACGACGAGGUCGUGGACUUGAAGGGAGAGCUCCUGAUGCUCAGGUUGCAGAAAUCGGCCCGGAACGAGUUCAAGUCCAGCGAGUUUCGCCGCAUGCGCAAGAGGCUAAUCAGAGGAACAAGAAGUCACUCAAGUUCAAAGCCGGAGGUUCGUGCUCAGUCUCAAAAUCCUGUUUGGCGUAGUGGAACCAGUGACACCACCUUAGGGAGCUUCUUUGGCUGGCCAUGCUUGGCUGACAUCCUUAUCCCAUCCACUGCCCUUCAUCUAUCUGCUUUAGUCUAGCAGUCACGUGCCUCUUCCUUAAUUCCACCAAGGCUUCAGGUACUUGAAUUGCUGAGGUCAGGUCCUGCAGAUUUAGUUUUUGCAGCUCUUUCUGAGCCCACUCUUGCAGACCAAUCUCUAACCUAAACACCUUGUCUUUGCCAUGUUCCUUAUCUCCAGCACCAAUUACUGCAACUGCCUAACAGAUCGCUCGGCUGUUAACCGUGAAACGGGAAAGAGAAAUCGAGGAAGGAAUUAACAAGAGGUUAUCGAGAAAGCUUGACCGUAAAUGGAAAA